AGAGUUUGAUCCUGGCUCAGAUUGAACGCUGGCGGAACGCUUUACACAUGCAAGUCGAACGGUAACGUGGGGAGGAGCUUGCUCCACCCCGACGACGAGUGGCGAACGGGUGAGUAAUACAUCGGAACGUGUCCGCUCGUGGGGGACAACCAGCCGAAAGGUUGGCUAAUACCGCAUGAGUUCUACGGAAGAAAGAGGGGGACCCGCAAGGGCCUCUCGCGAGCGGAGCGGCCGAUGACUGAUUAGCCGGUUGGUGAGGUAACGGCUCACCAAAGCAACGAUCAGUAGCUGGUCUGAGAGGACGACCAGCCACACUGGGACUGAGACACGGCCCAGACUCCUACGGGAGGCAGCAGUGGGGAAUUUUGGACAAUGGGCGCAAGCCUGAUCCAGCUAUUCCGCGUGUGGGAUGAAGGCCCUCGGGUUGUAAACCACUUUUGUAGAGAACGAAAAGACAUCUUCGAAUAAAGGAUGUUGCUGACGGUACUCUAAGAAUAAGCACCGGCUAACUACGUGCCAGCAGCCGCGGUAAUACGUAGGGUGCGAGCGUUAAUCGGAAUUACUGGGCGUAAAGGGUGCGCAGGCGGUUGAGUAAGACAGAUGUGAAAUCCCCGAGCUUAACUCGGGAAUGGCAUAUGUGACUGCUCGACUAGAGUGUGUCAGAGGGAGGUGGAAUUCCACGUGUAGCAGUGAAAUGCGUAGAUAUGUGGAAGAACACCGAUGGCGAAGGCAGCCUCCUGGGACAUAACUGACGCUCAGGCACGAAAGCGUGGGGAGCAAACAGGAUUAGAUACCCUGGUAGUCCACGCCCUAAACGAUGUUAACUAGUUGUUGGGAUGUAACAAUCUCAGUAACGCAGCCAACGCGAGAAGUUAACCGCCUGGGAAGUACGGUCGCAAGACUAAAACUCAAAGGAAUUGACGGGGACCCGCACAA
This 936-nucleotide ribosomal RNA is filed under the name human gut metagenome. Its description in RNAcentral is "bacterial SSU rRNA". It matches the Rfam family "Bacterial small subunit ribosomal RNA", at positions 8 to 928 of the family's 1533-position model. The record is from RNAcentral.